RNAcentral lists this ribosomal RNA (302 nucleotides) under Bacillus licheniformis. Its description in RNAcentral is "bacterial SSU rRNA". It matches the Rfam family "Bacterial small subunit ribosomal RNA", at positions 1131 to 1432 of the family's 1533-position model. The record is from RNAcentral. Lineage: Bacteria; Bacillati; Bacillota; Bacilli; Caryophanales; Bacillaceae.
UUGGGCACUUUAAGGUGACUGCCGGUGACAAACCGGAGGAAGGUGGGGAUGACGUCAAAUCAUCAUGCCCCUUAUGACCUGGGCUACACACGUGCUACAAUGGGCAGAACAAAGGGCAGCGAAGCCGCGAGGCUAAGCCAAUCCCACAAAUCUGUUCUCAGUUCGGAUCGCAGUCUGCAACUCGACUGCGUGAAGCUGGAAUCGCUAGUAAUCGCGGAUCAGCAUGCCGCGGUGAAUACGUUCCCGGGCCUUGUACACACCGCCCGUCACACCACGAGAGUUUGUAACACCCGAAGUCGGUG